AGAGUUUGAUCCUGGCUCAGAUUGAACGCUGGCGGCGUGCCUAACACAUGCAAGUCGAGCGGUAACAGGUGUAGCAAUACAUGCUGACGAGCGGCGAACGGGUGAGUAAUGCUUCGGAAUCUACCCUCUAGUGGGGAAUAACCAGCCGAAAGGUUGGCUAAUACCGCAUACGCCCUACGGGAGAAAGCAGGGGAUCGUAAGACCUUGCGCUGAUGGAUGAGCCGAAGUCGGAUUAGCUAGUUGGUGGGGUAACGGCUCACCAAGGCGACGAUCCGUAGCUGGUCUGAGAGGACGACCAGCCACACUGGAACUGAGACACGGUCCAGACUCCUACGGGAGGCAGCAGUGGGGAAUAUUGGACAAUGGGGGAAACCCUGAUCCAGCGACGCCGCGUGUGUGAAGAAGGCCUGCGGGUUGUAAAGCACUUUUAGUGGGGAUGA
This 440-nucleotide ribosomal RNA is filed under the name uncultured bacterium. RNAcentral describes it as "bacterial SSU rRNA". It matches the Rfam family "Bacterial small subunit ribosomal RNA", at positions 8 to 448 of the family's 1533-position model. The record is from RNAcentral.